This 451-nucleotide ribosomal RNA is filed under the name Pseudopedinella elastica. Its description in RNAcentral is "partial Bacterial small subunit ribosomal RNA". It matches the Rfam family "Bacterial small subunit ribosomal RNA", at positions 105 to 574 of the family's 1533-position model. The record is from RNAcentral. Lineage: Eukaryota; Dictyochophyceae; Pedinellales.
GGUGAGUAAUACUUAGUAAUCUACCUAGUAGUGGGGGAUAGCACGGGGAAACUCGUAUUAAUACCGCAUACGACCUACGGGAGAAAGGGGGCAGUUUACUGCUCUCGCUAUUAGAUGAGCCUAAGUCGGAUUAGCUAGAUGGUGGGGUAAAGGCCUACCAUGGCGACGAUCUGUAGCUGGUCUGAGAGGAUGAUCAGCCACACCGGGACUGAGACACGGCCCGGACUCCUACGGGAGGCAGCAGUGGGGAAUAUUGCACAAUGGGCGGAAGCCUGAUGCAGCAACGCCGCGUGCGGGAUGACGGCCUUCGGGUUGUAAACCGCUUUCGCCUGUGACGAAGCGUGAGUGACGGUAAUGGGUAAAGAAGCACCGGCUAACUACGUGCCAGCAGCCGCGGUGAUACGUAGGGUGCGAGCGUUGUCCGGAUUUAUUGGGCGUAAAGGGCUCGUAG